Molecule: long non-coding RNA, 1327 nt
Organism: Cyprinus carpio (common carp)
Lineage: Eukaryota; Metazoa; Chordata; Actinopteri; Cypriniformes; Cyprinidae
Source: Ensembl
GGAUGGCCUUCAUGAGUGAGUCACUGAAUCACUCAUUAAUUAAAUUUGUUGAGGCAUGAAUAAAGUGGCUGUAGAGUCAGUGAAAGUGAAAAAGUGAAAGUGAAAGUGACGUGACAUACAGCCAAGUAUGGUUACCCAUACUCGGAAUUCGUGCUCUGCCUUUAACCCAUCCAAAGUGCACACACACAGCAGUGAACACACACACACUAUGAACACACACCCGGAGCAGUGGGCAGCCAUUUAUGCUGCAGCGCCCGGGAAGCAGUUGGGGGUUCGGUGCCUUGCUCAAGGGCACCUCACUCGUGUUAUUGAGGGUGGAGAGAGCGCUGUACAUUUACUCCCCCCACCUACAAUUCCUGCCGGCCCAAGAUUCAAACUCACAACCCUAGGAACGCGGGUAUCUGUGCAGAAACAUCUAGAACAUGAGCACCAGGGAAAGAGUGAGUGUGGACAUUACCUUCAGCUAAUGUAGCACGGAUGUGCCGGACAAAGGAGUCUCAGACGAUCACAGCAUUACGUUCCAUCUCGCAGAGGGGAACGAAGCGGUUCCAGGUGGAGAUCUCGAAGAUCGGAUGGGGAGAGGCUGUCGCCCAGGGCCUGGCUCGUGCACCCUGGGUCCGUGGUAUCCUGGCACCGGAGUGAAGGACAUCUGGGAAGAAUGAAGCGGUUGUAUUUAUGAGUGAGUCAUUGAAUCAUUCAUUCAACCCAUUUGUUCAGAAAUCCCGUUUGCUUCAGGAAAACACUACUGUGUGUUGUGGAGGUUAUGCUGUGCUUUUAUUUGCAACAUUUUAAGUUUCUGGAACAAGAACAGACAGAGUAAGUGGAAUCACUCCAAGCAAUGCAGUUAAAACACUCUGAUGAGCUUAGCAACCUCACAGCAACACCCUUCAUGCUGGCAACUUCAUCAUCACUAAUUUUUGUCACUCAGGAAAUAUCUAAUUUAUUUGUUUUAUCUGUACAUUUAUUGCCCACAUAUUCAGUAUUUUGCCCAUAACUCUUGACUUUGACCAGAGUCUGUAUUUAUCCUAAACACCUCUGAAUAGCAUUUGCAAUUUCAUAGCAUUUGCUUAUUUUUGCUGUGUCAUGCUUGUGUACUGAAGUGAGCUGAGUGAUACAUUUUUUUUGUGUGUGUUUGAUUUCUGUAUGAUAGUGACUGUUUACAUGUAAAGCGUAAAAAUGGUCCUCAUAACUCAUAGAGUCAAAAUAGUGGUAGAUACUGUUUACACCAAGUAUAAAUAGCAAAAAAUACCAUCUAGAUUACACUGAUUGCACAUACUGACAGCUGCUGUUCACAUCAAGUGUAAAGAGAAUUCACAUGCUGUUUGGA